This 471-nucleotide ribosomal RNA is filed under the name uncultured organism. RNAcentral describes it as "partial 16S ribosomal RNA". It matches the Rfam family "Bacterial small subunit ribosomal RNA", at positions 334 to 797 of the family's 1533-position model. The record is from RNAcentral.
CACUCCUGCGGGAGGCAGCAGUGGGGAAUUUUGGACAAUGGGCGAAAGCCUGAUCCAGCAAUGCCGCGUGAGUGAAGAAGGCCUUCGGGUUGUAAAGCUCUUUUGUCAGGGAAGAAACGGUGAGAGCUAAUAUCUUUUGCUAAUGACGGUACCUGAAGAAUAAGCACCGGCUAACUACGUGCCAGCAGCCGCGGUAAUACGUAGGGUGCAAGCGUUAAUCGGAAUUACUGGGCGUAAAGCGUGCGCAGGCGGUUUUGUAAGUCUGAUGUGAAAUCCCCGGGCUCAACCUGGGAAUUGCAUUGGAGACUGCAAGGCUAGAAUCUGGCAGAGGGGGGUAGAAUUCCACGUGUAGCAGUGAAAUGCGUAGAUAUGUGGAGGAACACCGAUGGCGAAGGCAGCCCCCUGGGUCAAGAUUGACGCUCAUGCACGAAAGCGUGGGGAGCAAACAGGAUUAGAAACCCUAGUAGUCCC